Long non-coding RNA from Engraulis encrasicolus (European anchovy), 321 nucleotides. RefSeq lists it as uncharacterized. Lineage: Eukaryota; Metazoa; Chordata; Actinopteri; Clupeiformes; Engraulidae. The transcript is spliced from 3 exons. The record is from RefSeq and is a predicted model, not a curated record.
UGUGCUGCACGUGGGGAUUUUGAUGAGCACAUUUGGGCAAACCUGGCGCGCGCACGCAUGAAAUGUGACUUUGAAUGUUGAAGGUGAACGCCUUGCCCGGAUGGAUGACAGGCCUGUAAAAUGUCCUCUCUACAGAUCCACUCAAGGCCUGCCAAGAUGGAUUUGUGAGUGCGGGUGGAUUGCCAGUCUCCAGAGAUGUUCCCUGCAGCAGUUUCUGCCAGGCCAUCACACUACACAGGCAGAUCCAUAACAUAACAUCACAUGGACAUUAACCAGAGAGGGAAUGGACAACAGUCUGUGAAGGAAGAGUAACGGCCUGAU